RNAcentral lists this ribosomal RNA (1470 nucleotides) under Lacticaseibacillus paracasei. Its description in RNAcentral is "bacterial SSU rRNA". It matches the Rfam family "Bacterial small subunit ribosomal RNA". The record is from RNAcentral. Lineage: Bacteria; Bacillati; Bacillota; Bacilli; Lactobacillales; Lactobacillaceae.
GAUGAACGCUGGCGGCGUGCCUAAUACAUGCAAGUCGAACGAGUUCUCGUUGAUGAUCGGUGCUUGCACCGAGAUUCAACAUGGAACGAGUGGCGGACGGGUGAGUAACACGUGGGUAACCUGCCCUUAAGUGGGGGAUAACAUUUGGAAACAGAUGCUAAUACCGCAUAGAUCCAAGAACCGCAUGGUUCUUGGCUGAAAGAUGGCGUAAGCUAUCGCUUUUGGAUGGACCCGCGGCGUAUUAGCUAGUUGGUGAGGUAAUGGCUCACCAAGGCGAUGAUACGUAGCCGAACUGAGAGGUUGAUCGGCCACAUUGGGACUGAGACACGGCCCAAACUCCUACGGGAGGCAGCAGUAGGGAAUCUUCCACAAUGGACGCAAGUCUGAUGGAGCAACGCCGCGUGAGUGAAGAAGGCUUUCGGGUCGUAAAACUCUGUUGUUGGAGAAGAAUGGUCGGCAGAGUAACUGUUGUCGGCGUGACGGUAUCCAACCAGAAAGCCACGGCUAACUACGUGCCAGCAGCCGCGGUAAUACGUAGGUGGCAAGCGUUAUCCGGAUUUAUUGGGCGUAAAGCGAGCGCAGGCGGUUUUUUAAGUCUGAUGUGAAAGCCCUCGGCUUAACCGAGGAAGCGCAUCGGAAACUGGGAAACUUGAGUGCAGAAGAGGACAGUGGAACUCCAUGUGUAGCGGUGAAAUGCGUAGAUAUAUGGAAGAACACCAGUGGCGAAGGCGGCUGUCUGGUCUGUAACUGACGCUGAGGCUCGAAAGCAUGGGUAGCGAACAGGAUUAGAUACCCUGGUAGUCCAUGCCGUAAACGAUGAAUGCUAGGUGUUGGAGGGUUUCCGCCCUUCAGUGCCGCAGCUAACGCAUUAAGCAUUCCGCCUGGGGAGUACGACCGCAAGGUUGAAACUCAAAGGAAUUGACGGGGGCCCGCACAAGCGGUGGAGCAUGUGGUUUAAUUCGAAGCAACGCGAAGAACCUUACCAGGUCUUGACAUCUUUUGAUCACCUGAGAGAUCAGGUUUCCCCUUCGGGGGCAAAAUGACAGGUGGUGCAUGGUUGUCGUCAGCUCGUGUCGUGAGAUGUUGGGUUAAGUCCCGCAACGAGCGCAACCCUUAUGACUAGUUGCCAGCAUUUAGUUGGGCACUCUAGUAAGACUGCCGGUGACAAACCGGAGGAAGGUGGGGAUGACGUCAAAUCAUCAUGCCCCUUAUGACCUGGGCUACACACGUGCUACAAUGGAUGGUACAACGAGUUGCGAGACCGCGAGGUCAAGCUAAUCUCUUAAAGCCAUUCUCAGUUCGGACUGUAGGCUGCAACUCGCCUACACGAAGUCGGAAUCGCUAGUAAUCGCGGAUCAGCACGCCGCGGUGAAUACGUUCCCGGGCCUUGUACACACCGCCCGUCACACCAUGAGAGUUUGUAACACCCGAAGCCGGUGGCGUAACCCUUUUAGGGAGCGAGCCGUCUAA